This 242-nucleotide ribosomal RNA is filed under the name uncultured bacterium. RNAcentral describes it as "partial 16S ribosomal RNA". The stretch from base 47 to 242 matches the Rfam family "Bacterial small subunit ribosomal RNA", at positions 100 to 305 of the family's 1533-position model. The record is from RNAcentral.
UCCCUUCUCCCGGUAACAGGAUAGCUUGCUAUCGCUGACGAGUGGCGGACGGGUGAGUAAUACUUAGGGAUCUGCCUCUGUGUGGGGGAUAACUAUUGGAAACGAUAGCUAAUACCGCAUAAUGUCUACGGACCAAAGCGGGCUUCGGCUCGUGCGCAGAGAGGAACCUAAGCGAGAUUAGCUAGUUGGUGAGGUAAAGGCUCACCAAGGCGACGAUCUCUAGCUGUUCUGAGAGGAAGAUC